UACGGAGGGUCCAAGCGUUAUCCGGAUUUAUUGGGUUUAAAGGGUGCGCAGGUUGUUUGAUAAGUCAGUGGUGAAAGUCUGUCGCUUAACGGUAGGAUUGCCAUUGAUACUGUUGGACUUGAAUAUGGAUGAGGUAGGCGGAAUGUGUAGUGUAGCGGUGAAAUGCGUAGAUAUGCGGAGGAACACCGAUGGCGAAGGCAGCCUCCUGGGAUAACACUGACGCUCAUGCACGAAAGCGUGGGGAGCAAACAGGAUUAGA
RNAcentral lists this ribosomal RNA (259 nucleotides) under uncultured prokaryote. RNAcentral describes it as "partial 16S ribosomal RNA". It matches the Rfam family "Bacterial small subunit ribosomal RNA", at positions 524 to 782 of the family's 1533-position model. The record is from RNAcentral.